CGGGGGGAGCAAGCGUUGCUCGGAUUUACUGGGCGUAAAGGGCGCGUAGGCGGCCACCGCAAGUCGACUGUGAAAUCUCCGGGCUUAACCCGGAAAGGUCAGCCGAUACUGCGGGGCUAGAGUGCAGAAGGGGCAACUGGAAUUCUCGGUGUAGCGGUGAAAUGCGUAGAUAUCGAGAGGAACACCUGCGGCGAAGGCGGGUUGCUGGGCUGACACUGACGCUGAUGCGCGAAAGCUAGGGGAGCGAACGGGAUUAGAUACCCCGGUAGUCCUAGCCUUAAACGAUGAAUGCUUGGUGUCUGGGGUUUUAUAGUCCCCGGGUGCCGUCGCUAACGCUUUAAGCAUUCCGCCUGGGGAGUACGGUCGCAAGACUG
RNAcentral lists this ribosomal RNA (374 nucleotides) under uncultured organism. RNAcentral's name for it is "bacterial SSU rRNA". It matches the Rfam family "Bacterial small subunit ribosomal RNA", at positions 526 to 896 of the family's 1533-position model. The record is from RNAcentral.